Molecule: ribosomal RNA, 399 nt
Filed under: uncultured bacterium
Lineage: Bacteria
Description: bacterial SSU rRNA
Rfam family: Bacterial small subunit ribosomal RNA
Source: RNAcentral
AAUGAACGCUGGUGGCAGACCUAACACAUGCAAGUCGAACGAUUUAUAAAAACUUCGGUUUUUUGUAAAGAGUGGCAAACGGGUGAGUAAUAGCAUGGGAAUCUACCUAGAAGUUUGGGAUAACUAUUAGAAAUAGUAGCUAAUACCGGAUACACCCUGAGGGGGAAAGUUGACUUUUAGUCUUCGCUUUUAGAUGUAGCCCAUGUUAAACUUAGUUAGUUGGUGGGUAUAAUAGCCUACCAAGACGAUGAUUUAUAGCUGGUCUUAGAGGAUGAUCAGCCACACUGGAAUUGAGAUACGGUUCAGACUCCUACGGGGAGGCAGCAGUGGGGGGAAUAUUGGACAAUGGGGCGCAAGCCUGAUCCAGUCAUGCCACGUGAGUGAUGAGGGUCUUAGGGA